CUCCGUAGCCCUCCUUGGGCGUUUCCUCCCUUGACUUGGGCCGCUGGCUUCCGGCGGCCCUUUUUUUUGCGCCGC
Molecule: small RNA, 75 nt
Filed under: Methylosinus sp. 3S-1
Lineage: Bacteria; Pseudomonadati; Pseudomonadota; Alphaproteobacteria; Hyphomicrobiales; Methylocystaceae
Description: Makes More Granules Regulator RNA (mmgR)
Rfam family: Makes More Granules Regulator RNA (mmgR)
About the family: SuhB later renamed mmgR (makes more granules regulator) was a putative non-coding RNA found multiple times in the Agrobacterium tumefaciens genome and related alpha-proteobacteria. Other non-coding RNAs uncovered in the same analysis include: speF, ybhL, metA, and serC. Several studies inSinorhizobium meliloti showed that suhB element is indeed a non-coding RNA:firstly it was detected on Northern blot and called Sm8RNA, secondly in an RNAseq study referred to as SmelC689.
Source: Rfam by way of RNAcentral